CUGAGAGUAACGUCACAUCCUCAUCUCGGGCCCGACGCGCGAUCAUGGAUCACGCGUGGGAUGGCUGCGCACUGUGCACGCUCUUGCUCCUUCUGCCCCUGAAUUACCGGUUACACCACACGGAUACACGAUGAAUCGCUGCUAUGCCGCUGCGGUGCUCCUGCUCCGUAACAGCAUUGACCUUCUUGAUUCGAUCGCGUGCUUUUGGCCAGAAGCGAACACAACAUCGUGACCUUACACCCUCGUUCAUAAGCGUUAGGACACGCACGUUUCGUCUUUAUACGGCCACUUAUUACCAAGAACAGGAGAGACGCGAUUGUUUCCACCAGUGCCGCCCAACUUUUCUUCCAGACGAAACCACCCCCGAAGACUUGGUCUCCCUAACCUAGGGAAUUGUUAUAUCGAUCGUAGAAUAUCGGCGAAUCUGUGUAUAAAUUUAAACUUUUUCCAAUAAAGAAAUGAAAUCUAAAUGGAUAUUUUACAUCGAAUAUUUUGCAUAGUCUUGCGAUUGUAUACGUCUAGUUGCCGUAUUUUAUGUAUCUUUGUCACGCGUCUCGAAGAAAGACAAAAAAGAAAGAAAUUCUCAAAAUGAAACUGACCAGGACUGAAUUUAGGAAAUCCAGCUACGAAUUAAAGACAAAAGCGGAAAAAUGUUCAUUUGAGAACCUCUCCGUUCGAAGGUACGGCGAAGU
Molecule: unclassified non-coding RNA, 692 nt
Filed under: Bombus terrestris (buff-tailed bumblebee)
Lineage: Eukaryota; Metazoa; Arthropoda; Insecta; Hymenoptera; Apidae
Description: misc RNA ENSBTSG00005025851.1
Source: RNAcentral